CCAUCGGUGGUUCAGUGGUAGAAUGCUACCUGCCCCACGGGGUUUGAUUUCCGGCCGAUGCA
Molecule: transfer RNA, 62 nt
Filed under: Cordylochernes scorpioides
Lineage: Eukaryota; Metazoa; Arthropoda; Arachnida; Pseudoscorpiones; Chernetidae
Description: tRNA-OTHER
Source: RNAcentral